GCCCGGAUGAGCUUCGGUGGUCCGGGGUGCGGGCUUCAAACCCGUAGCUGCUUAGCGGCAGAGUGGUUCAAUUCCACCUUUCGGGCG
This 87-nucleotide transfer RNA is filed under the name Oryzias latipes (Japanese medaka). RNAcentral describes it as "tRNA-SeC (TCA) (tRNA-SeC-TCA-1-1)". It matches the Rfam family "Selenocysteine transfer RNA". The record is from RNAcentral. Lineage: Eukaryota; Metazoa; Chordata; Actinopteri; Beloniformes; Adrianichthyidae.